Molecule: non-coding RNA, 2891 nt
Organism: Sus scrofa (pig)
Lineage: Eukaryota; Metazoa; Chordata; Mammalia; Artiodactyla; Suidae
Source: RefSeq, a predicted model, not a curated record
UGAUUGGAUUUUUUAAUUUAGAAUGUCUUCACAGUUCACCAGUGUUAUAGAAUGAGUUGUAGCACGUGUUUUUAAACCUUCUUGGGUUUUAAAAACAUUUGUGCUCAUGACAUUCACCUAUGACCUCAUGUGUCUUGUUGCCCUUCCUGGUUUAUAGACUCCUGGAGAGGUAUGAUCUUGUACUUACUCUUGGUAAGUCACCUCAUGGUGCCUCGUUCAUAAUAAUACUCAAUCAGCUCUUGUAAGUGGAUGGAUACAGGCCGCUCUAUAGUAGAAAAUGAUCCCCUCUUAUCCUUGUAUAUUCCACUUGCAUUUUGCUCUCAGGCAUUGGACACAGGGAGAUGAAUGAGCGUAAUUGUUCUUUCUACCAUUGCAGUGGGAGCCAGACAUAACUUAAGAUGUUUCCCCAGGUUGAAAAUAUGGUAGGCAUAUGAGUUUUAGGCAUGUAGAGUCAGCUCCCUGCUCACUGUGAAAAAAUAUAUAUGCAAUAUUCUUUAAAGAAGAUAAAAGGUCUUUUUUAGCAAUAUGAAGUGAGGGAGAGUUUUGUCAUUUUUUUUUUCUCCUCUGAGAAAAAAAUCAAAGUGACUUGUCACAUUAUGAUAAGAGUGAACUUUUCAGUUGGCUGGUCAUCAAUCUUUGGUGUCAUCUGAGUCUGCUGGAGAUCCACUUGCCUUGUUAUGUUAUGCUUGAUUAAAUAGUUCCUAUAAACAUUAAGAAAUAAAAAAGAAAUGGAACAAGAAAUAUUGGAGGUCUAGGUUUAAAUUGGCCACCCGCUAGUGACAGAAGGUGAAGUUUCUCGAGACCCUUCUUACUAGCACGCCCAGGCCUCUACCUCUUUGAAGCAGUAGAGCUUCAAGGGCAAACCUGGCUUCAGGAGCCCUGUGGGGAAUGUGGCCAGGUCAGGGGCAGCCCCAGGAAACUCACAUGUCUUCAUCACUUCAUCUGGCAGGAGCUGCUGCUGGACCACAUGCCACCAGUCCCACUCCCAAAGCAGAACAUUCAAGGAGUGUGUCUGAAAAGCAGCAGGCACCUACCUGCUCCCAGAAGGAAAGGCUGUGUUUCAACCAGCCAAAGCUGAAGAGUCUACUUCAAGCAGGGGCAUCCUGAAGAGAUGCAACUGGAGGGAUUUACUCAAGAGUUUCUGAGCCAGGACCUCUGGCGCACUUUGCAGAGUGAUUGGUAUGAAGGUCUGUUUCCCAUAAUAGAGGCUAAAAAAUGUCAGGUACUCCCUCUCCCACCCUCAUUGCAGACUAUGGAAGCUAUGGAGGCCAUAUGCAGUCAUUAAGUGGUAGCAAAAGUGAACAUGCUGAGGAUAGAGACAUACAAGGAUGGAAAGAAUCUGGAUCACUGAUGACACUGAUGAUCACUGUUUAAACCUCUUAGAGAUUGACUGAUUAAUUUUUCAUCAACAUAUACUUGGUGUAGCUGGCAGGAUAUCAGAGACACCUGCCAGAGGAUAUCCAGAGUCUACUUGGAACCUGCACUUAGUAUGAACAUGAGUGCUUGAGCCCCAUCAGCUUCUCAGUGCUUCUCAGUGCUCCUCAGUUGUUCUGCCAUGUGGUGUCCUCAGGCAACUGAGGACCUCCCAGCAGUGUCUGAAGAUCAGUCCUCAAGAUUUGCAGCAGUUCUAUAGUGGAAACCACCACGACCAUUAUCACAUGGAAGCUCUUGAGCCGGGGAUCGAACCCAUGCUGCCCUUGUGACCUCUGCCACAGCUGUAGCCAUGACAGAUCCAUAAGCAGACAUGCCAGAAGGGAAUUUCCUUAAGAAGUCUAAAGGACCAUGGAGAACAAUGGACAAGGACAAAGCCAAAGUCCAGAGAGGACCAGGUACAGAGCGUUCUUCCCAGAGAGAAGAUCCGAGAACUGACACAAGAACUUCCUUCACUCUGGGGCAGGGAGUCUGUACUUCUUGUCCAACAUGGUUUCUUUUCGCUAUGCACCCCUGCUUUCUAGGCUUCUCUUUUCCAAGUGAGCGUUUUCACUGUACGUAUCCUGUUUUUGCUCCACAUUACAUACUGAAAGUUGAGUAGUGGGGGGGUAUAACGUCCUGCUAUUGUAUAGGUAGCUGGAGCUGGACUUGAUGGAGAGGACUGCACAUCUCCCACGGAAGUUAGACUUCAUUUUUUACUCAGGAAAUGGAUUGUAUUUUACAUUAUCUCCCAAGGGGAGGGUUGAAUGUAUUUUAUGCUUGGAAAUAAGGGUGUGCUUGGACAUUUAUACGGCCAGAGGUUUAGAAGUGUCGGAGUUUGCUAAUUGUUCUCCGUGUCCAUUUUCCCUUUCUGCACUUCAGUAAUAGAGCUCCUCUGAGUGUGAGCUUACUGCACAACUGACCAGCAAGAUACUACACUUCCUGUCUCCUUCCAAGUAACUCUUGCUAUGUGGAUUUAAGACCACAGUAACAACAAUCAAGGGACCCUACUUCAGAGUUACAUUUUUCUCUGUGGAAAUACCUGCCUUAAUGCUGUGGGAAGACAGACAGAAGAAAAUUUUAAAUUGGAUAUGUGGCUCCAAUGGACAGCACUGAUCUGCAUCAGGUAACAUACUGCAUCAGGUUGUACUUAUUUGGCAAUUCUCCAGUAUGACAUUGAAAGAGCACAGAAUAGUCAUUUUACUAUUUGGUAAGUAAUCUUAUUCUGAAAUUUGGGGUAAGUUUUCUUAACAUUAUUGGCUCAUGAAAGACCAUGUUCUGUCUGAGACGUGCAGUAACUCAGCAGGUUUAGAGCCUGUGUCUUUGGAAGAAUAAUAGCCGCUGAGUCGGAAAAGGAAGUCUAGAUCCAUACUGUGAGAAGUCUUUAAGCAUUUGAUCUUUAUUAUGCAGGCAACUGGCAGCUAUUAAAGAAUUUUGUUUUGUUUUGUUUUUUUGCUUUUUAGGGCCGCCUCCACGGCAUA